Molecule: long non-coding RNA, 697 nt
Organism: Folsomia candida
Lineage: Eukaryota; Metazoa; Arthropoda; Collembola; Entomobryomorpha; Isotomidae
Exons: 3
Source: RefSeq, a predicted model, not a curated record
UGACACUUGAAUUAGUAAAUACCAGAUCUUUGGGAUUUUUUCGGUCCCAGCUUACGAGCUUCAAGCAGCGAAUUUAUUUUGCACAUAGUUAGGCGUUAAGUUUUACAUUCGCGUUGUAUGUAAUCUACGACGGCAAAAGUUUACGUAAAGUUAUAAAAGAAAUUUUACCUUCCAAAUAUCCAGAAAUUUGAGACACAAUUUUGCAAGCUUCCCAGCAUAUCAACGAUAUCAAGAUUUCUUCCCUCAUUCAAAUUUCUGCAUAGAAAUUAAACCCAUGUCCACCAUUACCAUGUCAAAAUUUGCGAUUAUUUUGCUCAUCGGAACUGUUACCUUGUUCCCCCUUGGAGCUGAGGGUGCCGCUCGCACCUGCAUCUGCACCGCGGCCAAUGGGAAAGGAAACUACUGCGGGUAUGAAAUUGAAGAAAACUGUGAAGCUGAUCAGGGCUACUCGUGUUCCGGAAAGGCGGGCGAGGUCGCGGAGGACGUUCCCAGUGAGGCGAUUACUUGCGCCAAGAAAUUAGCAGACGCGGAUGGAUUUAGCGGACGUACGGGCGGAUUAUAAUGGGUAUUGAAUCCAAAAACCAUCACAGAGUAGGAUAAAUGUGCGGUCUCAAUUUUCCCCUGUUUAAAAAUUUCAAGUUUAUAGGCAUGCAAAAUUGAUUCAAUAAAAUUAUUACGUAUGAAAGGCGCAGAUAAA